CCUACGGUAGGCAGCAGUCGAGAAUCAUUCACAAUGGGGGAAACCCUGAUGGUGCGACGCCGCGUGGGGGAAUGAAGGUCUUCGGAUUGUAAACCCCUGUCAUGUGGGAGCAAAUUAAAAAGAUAGUACCACAAGAGGAAGAGACGGCUAACUCUGUGCCAGCAGCCGCGGUAAUACAGAGGUCUCAAGCGUUGUUCGGAAUCACUGGGCGUAAAGCGUGCGUAGGCUGUUUCGUAAGUCGUGUGUGAAAGGCGCGGGCUCAACCCGCGGACGGCACAUGAUACUGCGAGACUAGAGUAAUGGAGGGGGAACCGGAAUUCUCGGUGUAGCAGUGAAAUGCGUAGAUAUCGAGAGGAACACUCGGGGCGAAGGCGGGUUCCUGGACAUUAACUGACGCUGAGGCACGAAGGCCAGGGGAGCGAAAGGGAUUAGAUACCCCGGUAGUC
This 446-nucleotide ribosomal RNA is filed under the name uncultured bacterium. Its description in RNAcentral is "partial 16S ribosomal RNA". It matches the Rfam family "Bacterial small subunit ribosomal RNA", at positions 338 to 795 of the family's 1533-position model. The record is from RNAcentral.